GACGAACGCUGGCGGCGUGCUUAACACAUGCAAGUCGAACGGAAAGGCACUGCUUUUGUGGGGUGCUCGAGUGGCGAACGGGGGAGUAACACGUGAGUAACCUGACCUUGACUUUGGGAUAAGUUCAGGAAACUGGGGCUAAUAUAAGAUAGGAGAUCCUGCAGGAGGGAGGGGGGUGGAACGUUUCGGCGGUUGGGGAUGGACUCGCGGCUUAUGAGCUUGCUGGUGGGGUAGUGGUUUACCCAGGGAUGGACGGGUCGGCGGCCUGGGUGGGUGGCCGGCCACAUUGCUACUGAGAUACGGCCCAGUCUCCUACGUGAGGCAACGGUCGGGAAUAUUGCACAGUGGUCGGGAGUCUGUGGCAGCAACGCUGCGUUCGGGAUGCCGGCCUUCGGGUUGUGAACCGCUUUCGCCUGAGACGAAGCGUGUGUGACGGUAAUGGGUAAAGAAGCACCGGCUAACUACGUG
This 468-nucleotide ribosomal RNA is filed under the name uncultured bacterium. RNAcentral's name for it is "partial 16S ribosomal RNA". It matches the Rfam family "Bacterial small subunit ribosomal RNA", at positions 28 to 507 of the family's 1533-position model. The record is from RNAcentral.